RNAcentral lists this ribosomal RNA (548 nucleotides) under uncultured bacterium. Its description in RNAcentral is "bacterial SSU rRNA". It matches the Rfam family "Bacterial small subunit ribosomal RNA", at positions 355 to 896 of the family's 1533-position model. The record is from RNAcentral.
UGGGGAAUUUUGGACAAUGGGCGCAAGCCUGAUCCAGCAAUGCCGCGUGCAGGAAGAAGGCCUUCGGGUUGUAAACUGCUUUUGUACGGAACGAAAAGGUCUGGGUUAAUACCCUGGGCUCAUGACGGUACCGUAAGAAUAAGCACCGGCUAACUACGUGCCAGCAGCCGCGGUAAUACGUAGGGUGCAAGCGUUAAUCGGAAUUACUGGGCGUAAAGCGUGCGCAGGCGGUUUUGUAAGACAGGCGUGAAAUCCCCGGGCUCAACCUGGGAAUGGCGCUUGUGACUGCAAAGCUGGAGUGCGGCAGAGGGGGAUGGAAUUCCGCGUGUAGCAGUGAAAUGCGUAGAUAUGCGGAGGAACACCAAUGGCGAAGGCAAUCCCCUGGGCCUGCACUGACGCUCAUGCACGAAAGCGUGGGGAGCAAACAGGAUUAGAUACCCUGGUAGUCCACGCCCUAAACGAUGUCAACUGGUUGUUGGUCCUUAGCUGGAUCAGUAACGAAGCUAACGCGUGAAGUUGACUGCCUGGGGAGUACGGCCGCAAGGUUG